Molecule: ribosomal RNA, 253 nt
Filed under: uncultured bacterium
Lineage: Bacteria
Description: partial 16S ribosomal RNA
Rfam family: Bacterial small subunit ribosomal RNA
Source: RNAcentral
UACGGAGGGUGCAAGCGUUAUCCGGAUUUACUGGGUUUAAAGGGUGCGUAGGUGGGUAAGUAAGUCAGUGGUGAAAUCUUCGAGCUUAACUCGGAAACUGCCAUUGAUACUGUUUAUCUUGAAUACUUUGGAGGUAAGCGGAAUAUGUCAUGUAGCGGUGAAAUGCUUAGAUAUGACAUAGAACACCAAUUGCGAAGGCAGCUUACUACACAGUUAUUGACACUGAGGCACGAAAGCGUGGGGAUCAAACAGG